UCAUACUUUUGAUGCCAGUGAAUAGACUUGGCAGAGGUGACGGCGCUGUGCGUAAUUAGAAAAUAACGUCGCUCUGAGCAACAGGGCAGUGAAACAUCCAACGGGUGUCUCGGUUCUAAUCGGCUACAUGUCAUGGCUGUUCGUCGAUUAUCGAGCUGAACGCCACGGAGUGAAACGCCGUCAUGAGUGAACAUGACAGGACAGUCGAUGGUCUUCAGUAUUCACUUGAUGGCGCCGGGGAGCGCGGAUGCGGACCUCUGCAGGUGUGGCACACCUGCAUUCCAUCGAGGCCCAUCAACUGCAGUUUAAGAAGAACUGCAUGCUAACCUCUGUGGCUCAUUGGUCGUCCCAUCUGAGCUUUCCUGGAUUCCCUCGUUCUGAUCUGGAUGAUCUAUUAUCCACUGAAGGAAUGCUGGUAU
Molecule: long non-coding RNA, 419 nt
Organism: Poecilia latipinna (sailfin molly)
Lineage: Eukaryota; Metazoa; Chordata; Actinopteri; Cyprinodontiformes; Poeciliidae
Exons: 3
Source: RefSeq, a predicted model, not a curated record